This 483-nucleotide RNase P RNA is filed under the name Tardiphaga sp. OK246. Its description in RNAcentral is "Bacterial RNase P class A". It matches the Rfam family "Bacterial RNase P class A". From Rfam's summary of the family: Ribonuclease P (RNase P) is a ubiquitous endoribonuclease, found in archaea, bacteria and eukarya as well as chloroplasts and mitochondria. Its best characterised activity is the generation of mature 5'-ends of tRNAs by cleaving the 5'-leader elements of precursor-tRNAs. The record is from RNAcentral. Lineage: Bacteria; Pseudomonadati; Pseudomonadota; Alphaproteobacteria; Hyphomicrobiales; Nitrobacteraceae.
UCAGUCGGCUGGACGGCCGCUCCCGCUACGGUCGAAAGGCUGCGGGAGAGGAAAGUCCGGGCUCCAUCGACAUACGGUGCCGGAUAACGUCCGGCGGGGGUGACCCCAGGGAAAGUGCCACAGAGAACGAACCGCCCUCCUACGCAGCUUCGCUGCUUCGGCGCGACAGGCCCUCGGGCUCGCCACGCCGCAACCCGCAAGGGUGAAGGCGGGUAAGGGUGAAAAGGUGCGGUAAGAGCGCACCGCGUAUCCGGCAACGGAAACGGCAUGGCAAACCACACCGGGAGCAAAACCGAAUAGGGACGGCAAAGCAGUCAGUUCGCUCACCUUGAGCGAUAACACUGCGGGGCAAUGUCUUGCUCGCUGUCCGGGUAGGUUGCUUGAGGCCAUAGGCAACUAUGGUCCCAGAGGAAUGGCCGUCACGUAUCGCCGGUGCAAAUCGGCGAUGCCCUACAGAACCCGGCUUACAGGCCGGCUGAUAAC